GGGCUCGUAGCUCAGCACGGUAGAGCGACGGACUCUUAAUCCGUUGGCCGUGGGUUCAAAUCCCGCCGAGCCCG
This 74-nucleotide transfer RNA is filed under the name Thermoprotei archaeon. Its description in RNAcentral is "tRNA-Lys". It matches the Rfam family "tRNA". From Rfam's summary of the family: Transfer RNA (tRNA) molecules are approximately 80 nucleotides in length. Their secondary structure includes four short double-helical elements and three loops (D, anti-codon, and T loops). Further hydrogen bonds mediate the characteristic L-shaped molecular structure. tRNAs have two regions of fundamental functional importance: the anti-codon, which is responsible for specific mRNA codon recognition, and the 3' end, to which the tRNAs corresponding amino acid is attached (by aminoacyl-tRNA synthetases). tRNAs cope with the degeneracy of the genetic code in two manners: having more than one tRNA (with a specific anti-codon) for a particular amino acid; and 'wobble' base-pairing, i.e. permitting non-standard base-pairing at the 3rd anti-codon position. Lineage: Archaea; Thermoproteati; Thermoproteota; Thermoprotei. The record is from RNAcentral. RNAcentral also lists the same sequence under 4 other names.